RNAcentral lists this small nuclear RNA (320 nucleotides) under Peromyscus maniculatus bairdii (prairie deer mouse). Its description in RNAcentral is "7SK RNA (ENSPEMG00000004255.2)". It matches the Rfam family "7SK RNA". Rfam says of the family: 7SK was discovered as an abundant small nuclear RNA in the mid-70s but a possible function has only recently been suggested. Two independent studies have found that 7SK RNA binds the CDK9/cyclin T complex (known as elongation factor P-TEFb). P-TEFb activates transcription by phosphorylating the C-terminal domain of RNA polymerase II. The record is from RNAcentral. Lineage: Eukaryota; Metazoa; Chordata; Mammalia; Rodentia; Cricetidae.
GGAUGUGAGGGCGAUCUGGCUGCGACAUCUGUCACCCCAUUGGUUGCCAGGUUGAUUCGGCUGAUCUGGCUGGCUAGGCGGGUGUCCCCUUCCUCCCUCACCGCUCCAUGUGCAUCCCUCCCGAAGGUGCACGCUUGGUUGAAGAGGUCGACCUUCCCUCAAUAGAGGAGGACCGGUCUUCGGUCAAGGGUAUACGAGUAGCUGCGCUCCCCUGCUAGAACCUCCAAACAAGCUCUCAAGGAAGAGAGAACAUGGUAGAAACUGUUACAACUUCUCAGGCCUUUCCUUUGAUACAGAGUAAGAGACAGUUCAUGACUCAG